Long non-coding RNA from Oncorhynchus masou masou (cherry salmon), 1107 nucleotides. RefSeq lists it as uncharacterized. The transcript has 3 exons. The record is from RefSeq and is a predicted model, not a curated record. NCBI's taxonomy places the organism in Eukaryota, Metazoa, Chordata, Actinopteri, Salmoniformes, Salmonidae.
GGUGACAUUCCGAGGGGUUCAUGCUGAUUGUGCGGAGAUUGUGACAGCUGGUUAAACUGCAUCCCUUGACAAGGAUGUUGAACUUUUUUUAUGUGCUUAAGUUGAGUCUCCUUCGGUUUCCCAAUGAUGUCUAAGAGCAAAAAAACAUCAUCCAGUUGGCCAUUUGCUCAGAUAUCCCCUGUCAAGACCCUUGGAUCAGAGGGACAAGGACUAUGACGCCUUCACUUCCACCUUUCACUUUGAGGACCCUCUAUUUCGCCCUCACCGCACCUCCAAACCUGUCCCUCCUCCACUGCUCCGACCCACACCACCACCCCCAGACGAGGACCCAUACAGGCCCAUUAAGCCCCCUAAUACCUCUGAUCCCUCUGUCCCUCCUUUCAAAGGUGCUGUCCAAACUAUCACAAGUAUUGUAUAUAUAUCCUCCCUGUUUUCUUAGUGGAAACUGUGAUCACUUAUGUGGCCCUCUGUCCUUCCCCCCACCAGCCCGAGCCCUGUGCACCCAACCCUCAGAGUCCACACGCUGGGACACAGACCAAGGUGUGCCCAUACAACGAAAUGGAAUCCCGAGCAACCCGGAGUAUUCAUUCUGCCCCCUGCCCCCAGUGGCCAAAAAGACAGAUUGGCCCCCAUCCCGCCCUGUAACCUAUAUUUGUACUUCCUUCAGGACAGAGCACAAACACGAGGGCGGAGGAAGCAGAGGGACUUCCUGGACCCAUCUUUGUAUUCCCAUCUGUGGUGGCCACUGGGAUGGGCAACAGUGGGGUUAACAUGUUGUCUCCUCCCCUACGACCGGACUCUGUUCCUCCUCCCAUCCUCAUUUACCCUGGUGUUUUUAUUCCCAUCAUAGGAGAAAACAUUGGACAUAGAUAAUCGCCUGUCAAGAUUCAGACUUCACUGAUUCAAAGUAGUUUUCCCCAGUUCACCCCACAGAUACCCAGCUACUUUUGUAUUGAAAUUAGCUGGAGAUUAAACUAAAUAAAUGUAUAAUGCUGACUAUUAUAGAACAAUCCACACUGUCAAUCGUUGGGUCUUUCUAUACUUAAUGCAUAUUUCUGUUUACCAUUGGAUGUAAAACAAUUAUCUGCAAUAAAUGAAUAAAACUUG